Pelodiscus sinensis (Chinese soft-shelled turtle) is the source of this 732-nucleotide non-coding RNA. Lineage: Eukaryota; Metazoa; Chordata; Testudines; Trionychidae. The record is from RefSeq and is a predicted model, not a curated record.
CUGGCAGUGGAACUGACUGGCAUUUGUGACAUCAUGUGUAAACACACUGAUGUCAGAAAUGCAGGGUUAGAGGCUAAAUCAAACCCUUUGCUUCCAGAGGAUAUAGCAGAUCCUGGCCUGGAGGGAGCAGAGUGCUGUAUUCACAUCAGCAUCUUUCCCUUUCAGUGUGCUGAAGCCCCUACGCAAGAGCUAACUGGAGAAUGGGCUUCACAUGUUCAAGACAGGUGUGAGGAAACACCUGCAGAACUGGAAGUUGAAUAGCACCUGGUUAACUUUUGUGGGUGGAGUGGGGGGCAAAUCCUGCUUAACAAGGAUGUCAAACUGAUCUUUGUUCAACUCUUGCUAGAAGUAUCUGUGGCAACAAACUGGAGACAGUGAUAGCGGGAGUUAAAGCUUAUACUUCUUCGUGGACAUUUUGGUGGUGCUUUCCAUAUCUGUCUCAUCUGAGGACCAGUGUACUAAAAAGAACGAAUUCUGCAUUUUUUGCUCUUUACAAACUCCCACUGGUGUACACAAGAGCUUUGCCAGAGAAAGGACUGAAGGUUUAUUAUCAUUGUUAUCAUUGCAUUAUUAAUUGCUUAUUCAAUAUGCAUAGAAAGUUAAUAUUGAAUAUGUUAUAUUUGUCAGCAAGAUACAGUAUAAUGUCUAACCACCCGUUUAUUGUCCACAGAAAGAGUCAAUAUUAGCUUUGUUCACUGGAAUCCGUUCCCAGUGUGUAGCAUCUCGUAAUGU